Molecule: ribosomal RNA, 465 nt
Filed under: uncultured Klebsiella sp.
Lineage: Bacteria; Pseudomonadati; Pseudomonadota; Gammaproteobacteria; Enterobacterales; Enterobacteriaceae
Description: bacterial SSU rRNA
Rfam family: Bacterial small subunit ribosomal RNA
Source: RNAcentral
CCUACGGGUGGCAGCAGUGGGGAAUAUUGCACAAUGGGCGCAAGCCUGAUGCAGCCAUGCCGCGUGUGUGAAGAAGGCCUUCGGGUUGUAAAGCACUUUCAGCGGGGAGGAAGGCGGUGAGGUUAAUAACCUCAUCGAUUGACGUUACCCGCAGAGGAAGCACCGGCUAACUCCGUGCCAGCAGCCGCGGUAAUACGGAGGGUGCAAGCGUUAAUCGGAAUUACUGGGCGUAAAGCGCACGCAGGCGGUCUGUCAAGUCGGAUGUGAAAUCCCCGGGCUCAACCUGGGAACUGCAUUCGAAACUGGCAGGCUAGAGUCUUGUAGAGGGGGGUAGAAUUCCAGGUGCAGCGGUGAAAUGCGUAGAGAUCUGGAGGAAUACCGGUGGCGAAGGCGGCCCCCUGGACAAAGACUGACGCUCAGGUGCGAAAGCGUGGGGAGCAAACAGGAUUAGAUACCCGUGUAGUC